This 695-nucleotide ribosomal RNA is filed under the name uncultured bacterium. RNAcentral's name for it is "partial 16S ribosomal RNA". The record is from RNAcentral.
AAUCAGCCGUACUCCGAAUGCUUAGAUUAAGUUGAUCAUGGCUCAGACCGAACGCNUAGCGGCAUGCCUUACACAUGCAAGUCGAACGGUAACAGGUCUUCGGACGCUGACGAGUGGCGAACGGGUGAGUAAUACAUCGGAACGUGCCCAGUCGUGGGGGAUAACUACUCGAAAGAGUAGCUAAUACCUGCAUACUGAUCUUGAGUGAUGAAAUGCGGGGUGACCUUCUGUGUGGCCUCGCGCGAAUUUUGGGGAGCCGUGGGGGNCCUCCUCAUGAGAAAAAUUAUGUGUAGGGCCCACAAAGCGGGAGAAAGUUUUAUUAAAGAUGGGAGGNGAGUUUUUUAACUGNGGGGUGUUUAUUUAUAAGGAGACGGGGUUUGUAGAGUAGGUANAGGGGCGGCAAACUAGUUUUAUUAAANNNAACAUGAGAAGACAACGACUCAANAUGUUGGNGCGUGGCGCACCACUACUUUUUAUUUUUUUAAAGACCCCGCCCCACGCACCCCCGUACGAAAAAGUGAUAAAAGCGUGGGGAGGUACNCCCCUACACCACACAUCGUGUGAGGUGGUGAAAAAUAUAGCANACCGNUGGGNGUAACACACACACAGACAUGUUNUCCCCCCUCCCGUANCUUUUUUUUGCGGGANGGGAGUUGUUUUUAAAAAUGCGGUGGGCGAGAAGAUGGCGCCCCCCG